RNAcentral lists this ribosomal RNA (524 nucleotides) under uncultured Chlorobiota bacterium. RNAcentral describes it as "bacterial SSU rRNA". It matches the Rfam family "Bacterial small subunit ribosomal RNA", at positions 340 to 876 of the family's 1533-position model. The record is from RNAcentral. Lineage: Bacteria; Pseudomonadati; Chlorobiota.
UACGGGAGGCAGCAGCAAGGAAUUUUCCACAAUGGGCGCAAGCCUGAUGGAGCAACGCCGCGUGGGGGAUGACGCCCUUCGGGGUGUAAACCGCUUUUCGAGGGGACGAAGGCAAUGACGGUACCCUCGGAAUAAGGAUCGGCUAACUACGUGCCAGCAGCCGCGGUAAGACGUAGGAUCCGAGCGUUGUCCGGAGUUACUGGGCGUAAAGCGCGCGCAGGCGGACACAGACAUCGGCCGUGAAAGCCCCCCGCUCAACGGGGGAGGGUCGGUCGAGAUUGUGUGUCUGGAGGCAGGGAGAGGCCAGUGGAAUUCCGGGUGUAGUGGUGAAAUGCGUAGAGAUCGGGAGGAACACCAGUGGCGAAGGCGGCUGCCUGGACCUGACCUGACGCUGAGGCGCGAAAGCGUGGGGAGCGAACGGGAUUAGAUACCCCGGUAGUCCACGCCCUAAACGAUGGGUACUAGGUGUGGCGGGAGUUGACCCCCUCCGGUGCCGCAGCUAACGCAGUAAGUACUCCGCCUGG